This 4367-nucleotide long non-coding RNA is filed under the name Pavo cristatus (Indian peafowl). Its description in RNAcentral is "lncRNA (ENSPSTG00000002473.1)". The record is from RNAcentral. Lineage: Eukaryota; Metazoa; Chordata; Aves; Galliformes; Phasianidae.
GCCAGGGGCUGUGCGUCUGCUCAGGGCUGUGCAGCCCAAACGGCACUGCGGAGCCCACACAAAGUGGUAUUGCAGUGUUGGCUGAGGAAAAGCAAACAGCUGUCCAUUUCCAUUUAGUGUGGCUGGAACUGGCCAUACAGAUUUUAUUAUAUGCUCUGCAACAGCUCUCCAGACAUUUUGAAAGUUCUUUUCCUGUCCAUGCUUCCGUCAUUGCUUUAUUUUCCUCUCUACCAUAAAGCACUGGUUUCUAGGAAGCAGGGCCCUUCAUAAUGGGAAAAAAAGGCAUUAUUGAGUCACACCUGCCAUUUUAUAGCAAGGUGCCCACUGCCUGGCUGAGCUUACUGCUCUGUGCACAGGAGCAGGGGGACACGGGUGAGAUCUCCUUGUGGAUGGGGGUUCUGGUGGGUGUCCCCAGGAUGGAGCCAGGUGCCCCUGGGCCUGGGGAAGCGUGGCUGGAGCCAUCCCCUCUGCAGGAGACACCAUUGCUCAUUCAAGUGAAUGGAAGAAACAGAAUGCAGCAUUUCAGAGAAGCAGCGUCACAGACUGGUAGGGCUACAAGGACCUCCCAGCUCCGGCUGCCCAGGGCCCAGCCACGGCCUCGGCACCUCCAGGGAUGGGGCACCCACAGCUCUGGGCAGCAGUGCUGGGGCCUCACCGCCUCCAGGUGAAAAACUUCCCCCUCACAUCUGAUCCAAACCUCCCCUUUUAGCUGAAAGCCACCCCCCCCCCCCCUCGUUCUGUCGCUAUCAGACCAUGUAAAAAAUCACUCUCCUCCUGUUUUUAAGUUCCCCUCAAGUACUGACGGCCGCAGUGAGGUAACCCCAAGCCCUCAGCCUGGCCCCAUAGCAGAGCUGCUCCAAUCUCAAACCAUCUCUCUCUUGCUGUCUGGACUAUGAUUCACACCGUGCUGCUGAUCACCACCCAGCUUCCUCCUGCCCCUCUCCUCUCUGUGUGCAGUGCCUGCGCCUCCCUUCUGUGCUCCCUGCAGGUGGAGAUGCACCGCUGCUCUCCAGCACCCUGUGCCCCAUUGCAGGGCUGCUUCCUCGGGAGGACCUCCAAAUGGUGGCCAGAAUGGAUGGUGGGAACACACUAUGGGGAAACGUGAGUGCUGCUGGGUGCAUUAUGUCUGCUAAGGGCUGCCAGGCAUGCUCUGAGCCGCGAUGUGGGGCUGCCAUGUGGCAAUCCCUGCAGAGCUAUGGAGCAUCAAAGGAAACGGGCAGGAUGUUGGAAAUUAGGGAAAAUUGCACGUAAUUAGUUGCUGUGUCUCUUCUGAAGGUUGCCUACUGCACGGAGGCCUUGUGGUGACUCACCAGAGCAGGAUUUGGGUGCUGUGUGCCAGCAGGGCUUCCAACAGAGCACACGGCUUCGUGCUGCUUCAGAAACUCCAGAGGUCUGAGCUGAAGUUACAGCAUGUGACAAAAUAAAAAGAAAUAACGCAAAUAAUGUAGUCCUUCUAUUUUAAUAAGGCGACUUUUACCUUACUCUGAUUCUUUUCUUGGGGCAGGAAAUUGUACGGGAAGAACCAGGGAUGGCGAAGGAGCUGCACUCUAAGACAGCCCCAUGGCCUCCUCUGGGCUCCAAAAGGAACCAGGCUCAGGACCAGGUAUUCUACUGCACUUUUAUUCUGACAGAUACAAUGCACAUUGAGUUGGCACACAAACAAGCUUGUUUUUAAGGCAAAUGAUCUCAAAAUAGUUUUCCCAUUCACUGCUUCCAUAAAAUCUGACAGAAGUACAACGUAUUGAACUCGGCACUAGGAAUGCUUCCAUAGAGGAAUUUAAAUACAUCACAUAGAAAGGCACCUUUAAAGAAAUGCAACAAAAAUACACCUUCCCACUCGACCAAGUAAUGGGAAAGAAAAGCUCCAAUUUCUGCUCAAGCUUUUUGAAUCCAUCUCUGAAAGCGCGUUCCUCUGCCAUGCUGCGUUGUGGCCAGCAUGGCUGGCAAAUGGUGCUCCCACCCCUCGGCUGCAAACAAAGAAAGCAGACAUUCUCCUCCAUUUUCUGAUAUUUAAAGUAGAUUCUUCGUGUUAGCACACACAGGGACCAAGAGAACAGCCUUUACCCACACCCAGAGCUGUCCUGCUUCACUAUGGAAAGGCAUGGAGCAACAGAGCUAUGUUAAGGGAAAGGUGAAACCAUCCAUGACUUGCUUAUGAAUAACAAGCACACAAGCAUUUAACCACUGCCACACACUUUACACUCCACAUCAAAGGAAAGAACAGCAUUUUCCUGUUGUGGCUGCAAAGGGGCUGAUAGAGGAGGCCAUGAGUCACCCUUCUGCCAACCACGUGCAGCCCCAGCAGGCCCACACUCCGGCCCUGCAGCUCACCAGUGGUUCAGCCCCACUCCUGAGGUCAUCCUGACACACUGUGCAGGCACUGGGCUCGUUGUGCACGCAGCCUGAACAACAGCAGUCCUCUGGACAGAACAUCAGGCUUGUAGAUUACAACAUAACUCUUAAAAACGUGUGACUGCUGUGAGGCACUUCUCAGAGCCCCAGGGCAGCUGCUGCUUCCAGCUGUGCCCCGUGCCAUGCUCCCAGCUGCAAGGAGCUCGUGGGCACCCACCAGCACUGAGCAGCACUGAGCAGCACUGAGCAUCCUCCUGCCCCCAGGGCAGCACUGCACCCAGGUGCCCAGCACAGCUCUAGGCUGGCUCCUGGGGAAAGCAGGGCUUCAGCCUCCAGCCGCACUCCAACGCCCACCCACACAAAAGCAGACUUCUGUAGAUGGUGGCUCUGCCCUCAGAUGAGAUAUCGUUGCUGAUGUGGUGAUAGCAACCAGACAACACAGCAGUGGAACAGGAAAAGCGGUUUCUCUUUUUAGUACUUUUAUAAGCAAAGGCAGAGAAGCAAAAAUCCAGGCUCUAUAUCAGAGAUUCCCAGAUGCAGGAUUACACUUGCCAUUAAGGCCCCUGAAUUCAGUAUUACAUGGCACGUAGCACACGGUGGACAACUACCUGAUAUACUGUAAUUGCAUGUAAUUUUGCCUAAGAGGCCAUUAAACAGGAGACAUUAUGGACCAUCACCUACAAAAAAGGCAAAGAAAAUGGGGAGAAACGUAGUCCUUGUGGAAAUGAGCCUCAGACGUUCUAACAAAUGGGCGAGGAUUCAGUUUUCUGACAAAACCUGAACAACAGCUGGAGGAAAGAUGUGAUCAAUGCAUUCUUCUCCCCAUCUCUUCCAGUCUGCUUUAUUCUUAAAAUUUCCCAAAGCUGCCAUAUCCUCGAAAUUUGUCUUUGUGGAGGAAAGAAGAAAGAGAGAAAGAGAGUUGCAUCCUGUAGCACUCUGUAGGGCGUUUCAAUAAUGAAGAAGCUCUGAGCGAUGUCCCCACUGCUUCAGAAUCGUUUGAGGUUCAUUUUGUUCCUGGACGUGCACAUUUCCAAAUAAAACCACCCAUACAAAAGCCGUCUUUUUGCCUUUGUAAACCUUUGCCACUAAUCUACAGGAAGACGAACACUCACUGUCUCCUGCAACCUGUUUAUCACUCUCUCCAUCUGUGCAAAGUAGCUUUAUAGUGGGCUCUGCUUUCAGCAACCUGUGUGAUGUGUGGGUGCUCCACAGGCUGCUAUAAAAAAGAAAGCAAAGCGGCACAGCCUUCCCACUGCUGCUGCCUGCCCAGCGCUGCACCCUGCCCUGCAGUGAGCCGACCCCAGCAUCCACACGGAACGAGCAUCCACCAGGACAAUGCAGGCCUCCUUCAUUCUCAAAAGGGAAUGAUCCACCAUCACCGCUACAACUCAACCUUCUGUUCAAAGCCGUGGAAAUCCAAAUCAAAACCCCACGUUUUAUAUUAAUGUCGUCUGCCAUUUUCUCUCCUUGUCCAUCCAGAAAAACGAGGACGAAAGACUCUCUGAGGCAAAUAAUCUAAGUGUUAAGGUUACACAUAGGAGUGGCUCUCUUCCAUAAUUAAUCUGUUGAAUCUGUUCCAAGCUUCCCCUGAUAGGAAAAUCACUUUUUCCGACCUUAACACAAGACCAAAAAGUCCCUCCAAGCUCCACUUAGGCAGACAACAAGUCGUAUUCUGCAGCUCCAUUGGGAACUGCAGUAACAACAGAAUUCAGCCACAUCCAGGCUGGAUGUGGCUCUGGGCAGCCUGCUCUGGUGGUUGGUGACCCUGCACACAGCAGGCGGUUGAAACUGGAUGAUCACUGUGGUCCUUUUCAACCCAGGCCAUUCUGUGACUCUAUGAAAACCAAUCCCCCUGUCUACAUUUGAGAAUUUUUGGCACAUGGGAUAAAUAUUAUUUGGCACUCUAAGGCUGCUCAGCCCUGCCGCUUUCCGCUGUCCAUGCAGAUGUGAACGUGCGACAGACGCCCAAUUCACAGUAAGACAUAAAGCCAUGUGCUGGCCAAAGCAGUCUCCAU